GUCUCCCGUCAAAUCUAGCAUUCCCGGUGUUCAUCGCCCCCGCACUCGAUCCCUUCUGCCUGGGGUUCCAACGGGAAGUCCGAGUCACGGGACUCACCUGCUUCCUCACGUGGUGACCUGGCGCCCUGCUUUCCCAGUGUGCCCCUGGCUGCUGUCGCAUCCACACCCCUGCUCUCAGCCCGCCCGUGCCCUUCCCGGGUUUCGGCGCUGAUCCCCCAUCGGUGCUGAAGCGAGUUCAUUCGAGAGCAAGAAAUGAGACAUCACGGAAGCUCCUGGCAGGGCCCCCUGUCCUCCGCUGACUUUAUUAAGUCCCACUGUCAACAGCAGUAAUGUCUUCAAUGCUGUUUGAAA
Long non-coding RNA from Neofelis nebulosa (Clouded leopard), 351 nucleotides. RefSeq lists it as uncharacterized. NCBI's taxonomy places the organism in Eukaryota, Metazoa, Chordata, Mammalia, Carnivora, Felidae. The record is from RefSeq and is a predicted model, not a curated record. The transcript is spliced from 2 exons.